GCUGAGAAGGAAACGGAUAGAGUUAACGAAACUUGGUGGCAUUCAUCCGGCUAAUGUUGCUGUUGGUUGCCUGGCUGUACUGCCUUUUAUCGGGUAGCGGUCGGGCGACUAAACUGGCCGCGUUUGGUUGGUGCUUUUGCCAUCGGUAUGCGCCGAGAGGUUCGCUGUGGUGCGUUGAUACCUGGCAAAGAGGACCGCGCCCUUCACUGGGUGUGGAAACUUUUGCCGGUGCUAGGCGUAUCCGCGGUGAAUCGUAGUGUUCGCUUUUGCUACAACGUCUGCCCUAUCGGGUGCAACGGCCGUUGGUGUGGUUGAUGUGGCUGUUGAGCGGUCGCGUGCGACUUGCUUACAGUCGAUGUUGGCUCGCCUGAUGGCACGUUUGCGUAGGGCGUUGUGUCUCGGUGUGAAAGUUGACCACCUAUCCGACCCGUCUUGAAACACGGACCAAGGAGUUUAGCAUAUGCGCGAGUCAUUGGGUGGUAAACCUAAAGGCGUAAUGAAAGUAAAGAUCGAACUUUAGUUUGAUUGAUAUGGGAUCUGCGGAGGCCUGUACUCCAGCAGCGCACCAUAGUCCCGUCUUUGUUGCUUGCAAUAGGGCGGAGAUAGAGCGCAUACGCUGAGACCCGAAAGAUGGUGAACUAUGCCUGAGCAGGAUGAAGCCAGAGGAAACUCUGGUGGAAGUCCGAAGCGGUUCUGACGUGCAAAUCGAUCGUCUGACUUGGGUAUAGG
This 729-nucleotide ribosomal RNA is filed under the name Suifunema sp. SO-2016a. Its description in RNAcentral is "eukaryotic LSU rRNA". It matches the Rfam family "Eukaryotic large subunit ribosomal RNA", at positions 407 to 921 of the family's 3401-position model. The record is from RNAcentral. Lineage: Eukaryota; Metazoa; Nematoda; Chromadorea; Rhabditida; Thelastomatidae.